CAUGUCUGCUGUCUGGUUAAAGCUCAUAACCAUCCUUUGUCUCUUCUCCACAGCCCUGAGUGGCCCAGAGAGCGGAGGAGUAGUAUGGACAGAUGUUGGAGGAUCCGUCACUAUCCAGAGAUAUUGCUUCAGAUCAAGAGUCCCUGAGUCUGGAGAAAGGUCUCAGCCAGGAUGAGAUUCUAAAUAAAGAUAGAGACUCAGAAAAAAUUACUAUCGCUGAAGGAUUCAGAGGCAGGCUUCAGUUAGAUGGAGAAUUCCCCAAUCUGAACAUUUUCAUCAGAAACCUGACCACUGAUGAUAUGGGGCCGUACUGGUGCGUCUACAAAAAGUACGAUACUACAGCCAGUCAAAUAAAAACAGUGAAAGGCAAAGGGUCUGUGCUCCUGGUGGUGAGAGACCAGGAACGUAUGGCAGUGAUUGGAGAUGCUUCUG
Larimichthys crocea (large yellow croaker) is the source of this 432-nucleotide long non-coding RNA. RefSeq lists it as uncharacterized. The transcript is spliced from 3 exons. The record is from RefSeq and is a predicted model, not a curated record. NCBI's taxonomy places the organism in Eukaryota, Metazoa, Chordata, Actinopteri, Sciaenidae.